This 253-nucleotide ribosomal RNA is filed under the name uncultured bacterium. RNAcentral describes it as "partial 16S ribosomal RNA". It matches the Rfam family "Bacterial small subunit ribosomal RNA", at positions 524 to 776 of the family's 1533-position model. The record is from RNAcentral.
UACGUAGGGCGCAAGCGUUAUCCGGAAUUAUUGGGCGUAAAGAGCUCGUAGGCGGUUUGUCGCGUCUGCCGUGAAAGUCCGGGGCUCAACUCCGGAUCUGCGGUGGGUACGGGCAGACUAGAGUGAUGUAGGGGAGACUGGAAUUCCUGGUGUAGCGGUGAAAUGCGCAGAUAUCAGGAAGAACACCAAUGGCGAAGGCAGCAUCCUGGGAAGUACCUGACGCUCAGGUGCGAAAGCCAGGGGAGCGAACGGG